GAUGAACGCUGGCGGCGCGCCUAACACAUGCAAGUCGAACGAUUAGAGCACCUUCGGGUGUGUAUAAAGUGGCGAACGGCUGAGUAACACGUGGGCAACCUGCCCCUUUCAUUGGGAUAGCCACGGGAAACCGUGGAUAAUACCGAAUACUUCGAGACUUCCGCAUGGAAGACUCGAGAAAGCUCCGGCGGAGAGGGAUGGGCCCGCGGCCUGUUAGCUUGUUGGUGGGGUAACGGCCUACCAAGGCAAUGAUGGGUAGCUGGGUUGAGAGACCGACCAGCCAGAUUGGGACUGAGACACGGCCCAGACUCCUACGGGAGGCAGCAGUGGGGAAUCUUGCACAAUGGGCGAAAGCCUGAUGCAGCGACGCCGCGUGCGGGAUGAAGGCCUUCGGGUUGUAAACCGCUUUCAGCAGGGACGAGGCGAAAGUGACGGUACCUGCAGAAGAAGCCCCGGCUAACUACGUG
RNAcentral lists this ribosomal RNA (467 nucleotides) under uncultured bacterium. RNAcentral's name for it is "partial 16S ribosomal RNA". It matches the Rfam family "Bacterial small subunit ribosomal RNA", at positions 28 to 507 of the family's 1533-position model. The record is from RNAcentral.